GUUCCCAAGUAGUUCACAUGUAAUUGUGUGUUCUUGAAGUGCAGAGCAAUCCACCACAACCACGACGCGAAGGACUCCAAGCUACAAUUUCUGCAUCACUAAAACAAAAAAACAACAGUAAUGCAUCCAAGUUCUGAACCUGGAACACUAUGAAGAUGCAAGGGCUUGCUGCAUAUGGAUAUUUGUUUUGCUUAUUGGUUUAUUUAGGAUCUAGAUCACCGAUGACUAUGAGUCAUAUGUAAAUAUAUUUUGAUCAUACCAAAAGUGUCUCGAACAUAUAUUAUAUAUGAAACUAUGGAUCAACUUCUUGUAAUGCAAUUAUUGAUUUUUAAUAUAUAUUAUUUUUUCUUCUU
Zea mays is the source of this 353-nucleotide RNA transcript. It is a transcript of the gene named gamma-aminobutyrate transaminase pseudogene, with no coding region annotated. The transcript is spliced from 2 exons. Lineage: Eukaryota; Viridiplantae; Streptophyta; Magnoliopsida; Poales; Poaceae. The record is from RefSeq and is marked validated.